UACGUAGGGACCGAGCGUUGUCCGGAUUCAUUGGGCGUAAAGAGCUCGUAGGCGGCCACUCAAGUCGAAUGUGAAACCUCGAGGCUUAACCUCGAGCCUGCAUUCGAUACUGGGCGGCUAGAGUCUGGUAGGGGGAUCUGGAAUUCCUGGUGUAGCGGUGGAAUGCGCAGAUAUCAGGAGGAACACCGGUGGCGAAGGCGGGUCUCUGGGCCGAAACUGACGCUGAGGAGCGAAAGCGUGGGGAGCAAACAGG
RNAcentral lists this ribosomal RNA (253 nucleotides) under uncultured bacterium. Its description in RNAcentral is "partial 16S ribosomal RNA". It matches the Rfam family "Bacterial small subunit ribosomal RNA", at positions 524 to 776 of the family's 1533-position model. The record is from RNAcentral.